GAGUUUGAUCCUGGCUCAGAACGUACGCUGGCGGCACGCCUAACACAUGCAAGUCGAACGAAGUAGCAAUACUUAGUGGCAGACGGGUGAGUAACAUGUAGGUAUCUGCCCUUUGGCCUGGAAUAACACGAGGAAACUUGUGCUAAUACCGGAUAAGUCUUUACGGAGAAAGCUUUAUGCACCGUUGGAUGAGCCUGCACUUGAUUAGUUUGUUGGUGGGGUAAUGGCCUACCAAGACUGUGAUCAAUAGCUGAUUUGAGAGGAUGAUCAGCCACAUUGGGACUGAGACACGGCCCAAACUCCUACGGGAGGCAGCAGUGGGGAAUCUUGCACAAUGGAGGAAACUCUGAUGCAGCGAUGCCGCGUGAGUGAAGAAGGCCCUUGGGUUGUAAAGCUCUUUCGUCGGGGAAGAAAAUGACUGUACCCGAAUAAGAAGGUCUGGCUAACUUCGUGCCAGCAGCCGCGGUAAUACGAAGGGACCUAGCGUAAUUCGGAAUUACUGGGCUUAAAGAGUUCGUAGGUGGUUGAAAAAGUUAGUGGUGAAAUCCCAGAGCUUAACUCUGGAACUGCCAUUAAAACUUUUCAGCUAGAGUAUGAUAGAGGAAAGCAGAAUUUCUAGUGUAGAGGUGAAAUUCGUAGAUAUUAGAAAGAAUACCAAUUGCGAAGGCAGCUUUCUGGAUCAUUACUGACACUGAGGAACGAAAGCAUGGGUAGCGAAGAGGAUUAGAUACCCUCGUAGUCCAUGCCGUAAACGAUGUGUGUUAGACGUUGGAAAUUUAUUUUCAGUGUCGCAGGGAAACCGAUAAACACACCGCCUGGGGAGUACGACCGCAAGGUUAAAACUCAAAUGAAUUGACGGGGACCCGCACAAGCAGUGGAGCAUGUGGUUUAAUUCGAAGAUACGCGCAGAACCUUACCAACACUUGACAUGUUCGUCGCGACUUUAAGAGAUUAGAGUUUUCGGUUCGGCCGGACGAAACACAGGUGCUGCAUGGCUGUCGUCAGCUCGUGUCGUGAGAUGUUGGGUUAAGUCCCGCAACGAGCGCAACCCUCACUUUUAGUUGCCAUCAUUAAGUUGGGCACUCUGAAAGAACUGCCGGUGAUAAGCUGGAGGAAGGUGGGGAUGACGUCAAGUCCUCAUGGCCCUUACGUGUUGGGCUACACACGUGCUACAAUGGUAUCUACAACAGGAAGCAAGACUGCGAAGUUAAGCAAAUCCCUAAAAGAUACCUCAGUUCGGAUUGCACUCUGCAACUCGAGUGCAUGAAGCUGGAAUUACUAGUAAUCGUGGAUCAGCGUGCCACGGUGAGUGCGUUCCCGGGUCUUGUACACACCGCCCGUCACACCAUGGGAGUUGGUUCUACCCGACGGCCGUGCGCUAACCUUUUGGAGGCAGCGGACCACGGUAGGAUCAGCGACUGGGGUGAAGUCGUAACAAGGUAACC
RNAcentral lists this ribosomal RNA (1445 nucleotides) under uncultured marine bacterium. Its description in RNAcentral is "bacterial SSU rRNA". It matches the Rfam family "Bacterial small subunit ribosomal RNA". The record is from RNAcentral.